CAACAACAUAUCUCCACCCAGGGCGGAAGAAUAAUAGCUUAAGAGGUAGAAAUGACAUACUAAGUAUCUUAUAUAGUCGGUUUACUUGGUAAUUCACUAAAGUUGCGGUAGUUAAUACUUAUUGCAUUACCUAAUUACGGCUUUUUAGUUGUUACAACUCUUUAAAUCCAGAGCUUUGUCUGGUCUGUCUUGCCGUGGUUUUCUUUUGAGAUCCUUCUCCACCUCAUCCUACCAGGGCGUGUUCACAGACAGUGUGUCAGGUUGUGGUGGCGGAAGUAGGACUCUCAACACAACUCAUCAACGAUGAACCUACCUGGGAAGGUGCAGGCGAUUGAACACAGGACGAAACAAUCAGAGACACGGAAGACAAUCAGUAUCACACGGGAAAGCCAACAUGGCAAGAAGUGAAGAAAGGCAGGAAACUACAAAAUGAAACAGGAACCAAACCGCCACCGUGACACAGAGGAGUACAAAGGGUGGACAAAUAUACUGAAUCUGGGUGUAUGUGUGGUCAAAGAACAACAUAUUCCAGUUAGACAAUUGAAUUUCCCAGAAACUAUCUUAAUCCCAAGUGGAGAUUAAAAAUCGAACCUGUGAUUAAAUUGAAGCGGCACGGAGUGUUAAUUGAGACAAACACCUGUAAUCAUUGCCAUGGAGCGGCUUGCUUCCCUUGAAAUAAAGGACUUGACCUUGAAUCAAUGAGAUAUUUUAAUCCUUUUAUAAAUGGUAAAUAAAGAGGGUGGUAUCAAAAAGUAUGUAAGAGACUUUACUUUUUCGCCUGAAAUAAAACACAGAUACUGUUACAUCACAUUGGCCCACAUGUUUAAUGUGGGAUGCAAAUGUCUAAACUGUCAGAUAAAACACACCGUACGAAUGUUUCACACAGAUGACCACCGCACUGACCUCUAAAUACCUAGUUGGACACAUGAUUCAACCAAAAGGACUUGAUCUUAACACAAUUUUAAUUUUAAAGUUCAUAAUGAUCAUCUGGAUUAGGAAGACAUCCACACGGUCACCUAUACUCACUGUGUAAAAGCAUGUCAAUUAUUUAUUUUUUACGCACAAAAUCAUAUGUCAGGUAAAGAUUCUUUAUAAAUAAUACUGUUUUACUGAGUCCUUUAUGGUUGAGUAAAUAUUGAAAUAGAUUUUUUUUCAUUCUAGUCACAAAGUUCUGUGUUGUUUUUCACUUUCAGUGAGAGACAACACGUAAGGAGAAGUCUACUCUGUCUGUUCACGCCUGCACAUUUCAAAACCCCUACAGACUUUCUGUCUUUGAUUAAGCUGCCAAGAGGCUGAACGCAAACUAUUGGGUAAUGCCUGCAGGGAGAGCAGAAGAGCGAUACGACGAUACGUCUUCUUCUCUCUCAAGUCUUAAGGCUUCUCAAUGUUUUUCUUUCUGCCUUUUAAUUUCCCAUUCAAUAUCUUAGAAAUGAAUAUCAGUGUUUCUACCCUCACCUCAUACCAAGGCAGCUUUUUGGAUCCCAGCAGCUGCUUUGGAUGUUAACAAAUAUAAGCUUAGUUUUAUAUUGUAGAUCCAGCUGAAUUUUGUUGGAUUUCUCACGUGUUUGCGGUAUGCUGGUAAUGAGCAAAGCGUGAUCCAAUUAUCGGUGCAGCAAUGUAAACAGCUAUGUUGGCAGGAAGAAGACAGCACUCAAAAUGCCUCUCUCUGUCUAACACAAACACACACAGAUAAACACCGUACAGCAUGGCAGCACUGCAACACUACACAGUGUAUCUUAUUUACGCUUUUAAUGAAUCUUAGUGAGUUUAGUCAGUUUUGGUACCUGCUGUUUGUUUUCUUUGUUCCAAAUUAGUAGAUAGUGUAUUGCAAUAGUGUUGAACCUGGACCAUGGGUCAGUUUAAUUGCACACUUUGGCAUCUGUAAGCAAAAUACAUUUUGCACGCGUUGAUUACGUGCAAUGACAUUUUGAGGUGACAGGAGUUUUUGAUAGGAAUUAAGUUGGUAAAACAAGGGCAUGGCCCUUUUUACACCAAAAAACUGACUAAAUGAUGCAUGUAGGCACUAGCGCAGAGUUUGCAUCAUUGCUUUUGCAUUCAUUCUCUGACCGGUGUUCAUUAGUACAACAUUUAGAAAUGUGAAUCGAGGCUGAAUCUGUGUGCUACUGUGUUUUAGCAGGAGAGGAGAUGUGCUCUGAUGAGCACCUAAAGCUAUUCAGUAACCUACCAUUUCCGUCAUAAUUACUUUUGUGUGCUGGAGAGAGAACUGCUGAGAUGUGACCUGUGCUGAGCUGUUGGACCAAUGCGACGAGAUGACAAUCUCAGCGUGAUCAGAGAAACUAGCCACUCUUACACCUAACUGACGAUAUUUAAUUGAAUACACAUUUUGAAAAUGACUUGCGGGGUUUAAGUCAGAGUUGCAUGCAGCUGCAUUUGCACUUACUAGAGUUGGCUUGAACGUGUGCCAACAACUUAAAUCCAUAGUCCUGAAUCCCAGAUUUAUUCAGUUUGCUAUCAUACAGGACAGAGAAAACCAGCAAUUCUUCGCACUGAAGAAGCUAUUGUUCAGCCUACUUAGACAUCAUUUCUCUUAGAGCUCAAAAGUUGGGGACGGAGUUAAGACAUAACACAGAGCACUUUGUCAAUCUAACUGUAAUGGCAUUCAUGAUCAGUAACUUUCAGGUGGGCAGGUGGGGACAUGAAAUUGUCAAAUUAGCUUGUUACUAUAAACGGUGAUGAACUAUUAAAUUCUUCAUGCCGUACAGAACAUUUUUAUCUAAAUUGACAGAAACAUUUAAACAAGGAUAGGCAGAUGAAUAUUUUCACAGAUGAGCAACUGACUAAACAGUGAUUUUGUUUUUCUCUGAUUCAUGGACAUGAAUGAACUGUCAGCUGGCCAAAAGGAGUGCGAGUUAUCCAGCACAGUGACACACAUUGGGCUUGAAUUCAGCCCAUUGGUUCCAGUUAUUCAACACUAAAGCAGUAAGUAAGUAAAACCUUGAAAUGAGAAAUGAUGGUUAGUUGGAUGCCUGCUUAUAAGAAGACCCAUGUAGAAAGGUCAUAUAUCUUGUCCUAAUAUACAUAUAUUCAAUGACUUAUUAAUGUCGGGCUUUUAGUUGCUGAAAUAUACCCAGUCUUUUCACAUACCACUGAGAAUCGUGCAAAUCAAAUGUUUUCUUGAACAACGAAUCCCUGUAUUCUUCCGCGCUUAAAGAAAAACACUGAGUGCAAGUCUGUAGUCUGAUUAAAGACUGAACAAAUGACAUCUAACCUUCAAAAGCACUGUUUUCUUAUCUUCAUGUAACUACAGUUUUAGGAUAACCAACAAAUGUUUUCAUUAUGCAUUUGGGGAUUUAUAUAAAAUGAUGAAAAGCAUUCUCACGUGUGUCAUGCUUCUCGAGGCCUAUUCACAGUUGCACCUGUAAAUAUUAAUCAAUAAGAACACGGAUAAAUUCCCACAGAAAUCUUGAUGAAAAAAAAAAGGAUUGGCUUAGUUAUUGACUGACAGUUUGAGUUUGUUCUGUAUAUUCUCCCAAUCUCACAAUAGCUCAAUGUUUCUUAUUAGUCUAGUUUUUGGUUUAAUACUAAAUUCAUGUUUUAAUUAAUAUGUAUAGACAAGCAAGCUAUUUCCAAGCAAACUACCGGUGAGGCUAUUUUGUUAGAAGUAAGUAAAAAUGAA
This is a long non-coding RNA of Gasterosteus aculeatus aculeatus (three-spined stickleback), 3637 nucleotides long. The record is from Ensembl. NCBI's taxonomy places the organism in Eukaryota, Metazoa, Chordata, Actinopteri, Perciformes, Gasterosteidae.